UACGUAGGGGGCAAGCGUUGUCCGGAAUUAUUGGGCGUAAAGAGCGCGUAGGCGGUCCGAUAAGUCGGCUGUGAAAGUCAGGGGCUCAACCCUUGAAAGCCGGCCGAUACUGUCGGACUAGAGUCCGGAAGAGGCGAGUGGAAUUCCUGGUGUAGCGGUGGAAUGCGCAGAUAUCAGGAGGAACACCAAUAGCGAAGGCAGCUCGCUGGGACGGUAUUGACGCUAAGGCGCGAAAGCGUGGGGAGCAAACAGG
Molecule: ribosomal RNA, 253 nt
Filed under: uncultured bacterium
Lineage: Bacteria
Description: partial 16S ribosomal RNA
Rfam family: Bacterial small subunit ribosomal RNA
Source: RNAcentral